CCACUUGGACUAAAAUUCCUAGUGGUAUGAGAGAUGUGGUGUGAGAGAAUAUAUAUGAAACUAGGGCACAUGGCCAAUAAGUCUCCCACUUGUCCUAGUUUACAAACAUCGUACACCUAAACUGUGUAGGUGACCCUCAAACACUUUAGCCAUGAGGGCUUUUGUAAAAUGAUCAGCUUCCAUUGUGGAAUCAGCUAUACAAGUUUGCUUUAUGCUUCUCCAAACUACUGCUCCUCCAUUUAGAGUAAAUACUGAUUCUGAUGUAGACUUUCUAACAUCUUUAUCAGUUUGGAAAUCUGAAUCAGUGUAUCCAGUAAGGAUCAGAUCCUUUGUACGAUACAUGAGCAUGUAGAAUGUUUUUAACGGCUGUCCAGUGAUCACGUCCAUGAUUGGAUUGAUACCUACUGACCAUCCCUACUGAGUAGCAAAUGUCAGGUCUAGUACAUAACAUUGCAUACAUUAAACUUCCAACAGCGGAAGCAUAGGGAAUAUUUCUCAUAUCCUCAACUUCUUGAGGUGUCUUAGGACAUUGUUCCUUUGACAAAUGAAUUCCAUAUCUGUACGGCAGCAGACCCUUUUUGGAAUUCUGCAUUUUAUAUCUAGACAACAUUUUGUCUAUGUAAGAUGCUUGAGACAUGGCUAGUGUUUUGUUCUUACGGUUUCGAACAAUUUGGAUUCCGAGAACGUAUUGUGCAUCUCCCAGAUCUUUCAUUUGAAAUUGCAUAGCUAGCCAUUUCUUGAUAUCAGGAAGAUAUCCUAGUCAUUUCCAAUAAGUAGAAUAUCAUCUACAUAUAAGACUAAAAAAUGCUAUAAUGGAAUUGACGACCUUUUGUAAACACAAGGCUCGUCAACAUUUUGUUCAAAGCCAUAAGAUUUUGAUCGCAAUAUCAAAUCUUAUAUUCCAGGAUCUAGAAGCUUGUUUUAAUCCAUAAAUGGAUUUUUUAAGCUUACAAACCUUUUGUUCUUGAUCUUGUUUUAUAAACCCCUCUGGUUGAGACAUAUAGAUGCUCUCUUCAAGAUUACCGUUCAAAAAAGCUGUCUUGACAUCCAUCUGCCAAAUUUCAUAAUCAUAAAAAGUGGCGAUGGAUAAGAGUAUUCUAAUUGACUUUAACAUGGCAACGGGAGAGAAAGUUUCCUCUAGUCUACUCCCUCUCUCUAGGUAUAACCCUUUGCCACAAGUCGAGCCUUAAAAGUCUGUACUUUACCGGCAUGGUCUCGUUUUCUCUUGUAGAUCCAUUUACAACCAAUAGGUUUUACGUCAUUUGGUUGAUCUACUAGAGUCUAGAAAGAAUUAAAGUACAUAGACUCCAUUUCGAGGUCCAUGGCUUUGAUCCAUUGGUCACGAUCUACAUCUUUCAUUGCCUGUUUAUAGGUUAAUGGAUCCUCUAUGCCAUCGUCAGGUAUGACGACUUGAGUUUCAAUUAAACCCAAAUAGCGAUCAGGCUGAUGAACAACCCUCCCACUACGUCGAGGCUCUCUCAACUGUUGAGAAGGAUGUGAUUGACCAGAUUUCCUAGUCUUAUCAACUACUUUAGUGGAUGAACUAGGUUUUAUCUAUAGCACUUUUGGAAAUUUCUUUAAAUACUAGUUUACUACGAGGUUGAUGAUCCCUGAUGUGGUAUUUUAUUUUCUUGAGGAUCAUAAAACAAACCACCUCUUGAUUCUUUUGGAUAACCUAUAAAAAAGCAUAAUUUUGAACGAUGUUCCAAUUUCUUUGGAUUUUGUACCAACACAUGUGCUGGACAACCCCAAAUUUUAAAAUGACGUAAACUGCCUUUACGCCCUUUCCAUAGCUCAUAAGGUGUUUCUGAAACACUUUUAGAGGGAACAUUAUUCAAAAUAUAAGCAGCUGUUUCUAAAGCAUAUCCCCAAAAAGAAUCUGACAUCUGAGAAAAACUCAUCAUAGAGCGAACCAUGUCUAACAAGGUCCAGUUUCUUCUUUCUGAUACACCGUUCUGUUGAGGUGUACUAGGUGCAGAGAGUUGUGACUGGAUUCCAUUUUCUAUUAAAUAGUCUCGGAAUCGUAAGUCCAUAUACUCUCCACCUCGAUCUGAUCGAAGUAUUUUUAUUGUUUUACCUAAUUCGUUUUCUACUUCAGCCUUAUAUUCUUUGAACUUUUCAAGACUAUUAGACUUAUGAUGUAUUAGGUAAAUAUGACCAUACCUUGAAUAAUCAUCAAUGAAGCUAAUGAAAUAUUCAUAUCCACCUCGAGUUUUGACAUUCAUUGGUCCACAAAGGUCCGAAUGUACGAGCUCUAAGGGUCCUUUGGCUCUUAGACCUUUUCCAGUAAAAGAUCUCUUGGUCAUUUUUCCUUCAAGACAAGAUUCACAAGGAGGUAAAGAGUUAUCUUCUAACGGACUUAGAAGCCCACUUUUAACCAAUCUCCCAAUCCUAUUGAGAUUUAUGUGACCAAGUCUUAAGUGCCAUAAAUAGGCAUUAGAAGAAACUUUUUGUCUUUUAUUCUGAGUUUCAGCUGUUCUGAAUAUUUCAGUAUUUAAGACAAAAUUUGCUCUAGUUGGUCUUAACUUAUAUAAGUUGUCUUCAAGUAUAGCAGAACAAACUAGAAUACCUUUAUAGAAAACGAACGCUUCAUUAAUUUCAAAAGAUAUUCUAUACAUUUGUUCCAAAAUACAAGAGAUAGAUAUUAAAUUUCUUUUCAUUUGAGGUACAUAUAAGACAUUCUUAAGUAUGACAUAUCUAUCUCUAAAAAACAACUUUAAAUCUCCCACUGCUGAAGCUGAGACCAUCUCUCCUGUUCCAACCUUGAGAGUGAUCUCGCCUUCUGAAAGCUUUUUCCAAGAACUAUUUUCCUGAAAUGAGAAGCAAAUAUGGUUAGUGGCUCCUGAAUCUAGUAUCCAGGUAGAAUUUUCAUAUUCCACUAAACAUGUUUCUACAACUAGUAAAUCAUAUUUACCUUGUGUUUCCUUCUCUGCCUUUUUUUCUGCAAGGUAUUUUGGGCAGUUUCUUAACCAGUGCCCGUUUUGGCCACAAUGGUAACACUUACCUUUUUCUGCAGCUUUCUUACCCUUGUUCUGUUUGGGAGUCUUUCCCUUUCCCUUCUUUUUUAUUUGAGCAUUAGGUUUUGAGGGUCCAGCUUUGGUUUUAGAGGACGAUCCUCUUAUAAAUUUUCUUUUUGUGGUAGCAACAUUUGCUUCCACUUGUUUUCCUUUACCCAUAGUUAGGUUUUGGAAUCGCUGGAGUUCAUUCAGAAGGGUUGUCAAGUUAAAUUCUAUCUUGUUCAAAGACGCAUUCGUUUGGAAUGGAAUGAAGCUCUUCGGAAGAGACUCUAAGAUAAAACUAACUUGAUUAACCUCUUCGAUGGGACCACCAUUCACUUCAGCGAUGUUGAAGUGCAUCAUCAUGUCCAGAACAUGUUCUCUAACAGAGGUCCCUUCCUUCAUACGCUUAGUGUAAAUGUAUUUGACUGCCUCGUGUCUUAAGGACCAUUCUGGUUGCCCAAACAUUCCCCUUAAUGAAUCCAUAAUCUCUUUAGCCGUGGCUAAGGAUUCAUGUUUCUUUGCCAAUACAUCAGACAUGCUGGCAAGAAUGUAAACACGGGCUUUUUCAUUAGCUUUUAUCCAUCGAUCAUAUGCAUCCCGACUAGUUCGGUUAGCAUUAGAGGCAGGGUUUUGAGGACAUUCCUCAGUUAAGACAAAUCUUAAAUCGUCAACCACUAGUAUUGUGUUAAGAUUUGAUUUCCAAGCCGCAUAAUUAUCGCCAUUAAGUUUUUCGGAAGCUAAAAGUUGAACUAUUGAGCUAUUCAUGCUGAAAAACAAACAUAUUCUUUUUAGGAAAAAACUAUAAUCAUAAAAAAUAUCCAAUCUAAUUUAGCAAUUACUAAUAAUGUACCCUUUCAUUAUUUGUAUUUUGCAACAAUAUUUCAAAGGUUUAGAACAACCUUCUCCGAAGGGUAGUUGAUUAUUCCUCCUUUGAACCAAGACAAUCUUGACUAGAUGCUAUCUCAAGAAUAACUCUUUAUUCUUUAUAGCACUUAGUUAUCGCUACUUUAGUCAAGAAUAUACUAACAACUUAGUAAUUCUUGUAAGUGUUACCCACCAUUUUCAGAUUUUAUAGAUUAGAAUCAUUUAUGAAAACUAAUCUAAGAAAUCCUAUCCAGUUUUGGAGUUCGCGGUGUUCCGAAUCCUAUAAUACAACCCUCCGAAGGGAACGUCGCUCCAGGGCAGACAAGCAGGCAUAUUAUAGAAAUCUCACGGUGCGGCCUAAUGGAAGAGACCGUGGGAUGUGCUGUCACAAAUCCCUCACCCACUUACUAUGAACUACUUCCCCUAUUCACCUUGAUUUUGAUCCAUGCAAACACUCUCCGAAGGGAGGCCGCUCCUAUGCACGGCACAAAGCCCUGCAUGGACCUCACGGUGUGAACUCUUAGGGACACUAGAGCUAAAAUACAUUAUUUUUCUCUAGUUGAAGUGUUCUAAAAGGAAAAAAAUAGGGUAAUCCAAACUUCAAGAUUUAUAUUUAGGCUAACUUAAACAAAUCUUAAGUCUAGAUAAAACAUCCAAGUAUAACCAUUAUACAGGAUUUUAACCUAUGAUGUCUAGGUGAAAAACCAUUUUUAUUACCUCACACCUCUCACGAAUGCUCAUAAAACUAGGUUAACUAGGCUCAAGAACUGAUUACGAUCUCCAGGUAGGAGGUGUUCCGUAAACCGUCAACUUAAGAACCUCCAACCUUAGUCAUCUUAUCUGACUUGUUGACAAGAUUGAACCAGGUGAGCCUUUUGUAACCAGUUUUACAAGAUAUCGACCUAUUUCUAUGAAAAAUGGAAGAUAUGUUUAACCUAAGUGAGCAUGCAUUUAAUCUUUGUUAUUGAUUUUAAAAGUCUAAUUUAUUUUAUAACACUUAUAAAAAAAACUUCUAGACUUAAUCAAUCAUUUUAUCAAUAUAUAAUCUUAUAAAAACAAUCAAUUAAUAUGGAUUUUAAUUUAUUUAACUUUAAUUAAAUCAUAUUUAAUUAAAUUAAAUCAAACAAUAAUUAAUUAAUUUGAUUAAAUCAUAUUUAAUCAAGAAUAACUUAAUUAAUUAAAUAAUUAAUUAAUCAUAUUAAUUAAUUUCCAUAUUAAUCAAUUAACAUGCAUACAAUACAAUAUAACCUUUAUAUCAUACAUUUUAAUGCAUGAACAUGUUAACCUAUGGUGGGAUUUUAAAUCUAUAUGACAUUCAAAAUGCACAUACAAAUUUAAAGUAAUUUAAUCAUACAUCACAUGCAUAAAUAAAAAAAAACACCCUAAAAUGGACUGAUUUUUGGCUCCUAAAUUAAGCUAAGUGCUAAAUUAUUACAUAAUUAAUUUGGUGUAGUACAGAACCACUCCCAAAAAUUUCGAACCGGCUAAAAAACCAACCGAAACCGCUUGAACCGGCCCAAAAACCAAAUUUAUUGGCUUGAACCGGCCCAGGCGCACACGGGUCGUGCGAAGGCAGGCGCGCGGGCGAAGGCGGGCGCGCGGGCGCAUGCGGGCGCGCGGGCGCAUGCGGGCGCGGCGCGCGCAGGCGGGCGCACGGGCGCAUGCAGGAGCGCGGCCGCAGGAAGGCGCGCGGGCGCAGGAGGGCGCGCGCGGGCGCAGGAGGGCGUGCGGCGCGCGCGGGCGCGUGCGGGCGCAGGAGGGCGCGCGGGCAUGCGGGCGCGUGCGGGUCGCGAAGCGGGUCAAAACCGGGUUUUCGGGUCUGUGACCUUCUUUUCUUCAUUUUUUUUCAAUUCUCUCACCCGGUUGAACCAAUUACAGCCUAGCUUCAACUCUAAUGACUUUUUUUAUUUUUUUAAAAAAUUACAAACACUUUGCAACAAUAAAAAUAAGCCAUUAACAAGGCUAAUUACAAUAAUUAGAACAAAAACACUUAAUCUAGAGCCAAAAUCAUAAUAUAUCCAUUUUAGUUCAAACCAAAAUUUAUCUAAUAAAUAUGAACCCACCACAUGCAAUUGGGUAAAAAUGAAGCAUGCUCUGAUACCACAUGAUAGAACUAAGUCAUGCACAGCGGAAAAAGAAUCGAAUUUCUACCCUAAUUGCCACAAUUAACAUGUAACCAUAAACUAAUCAAAUUAGGGUUUUAAGAAGUAUUACCUUUGAAGCUUUCAAAAGGUUUGAUGUCUUCUUACCAAUUCUACCCGAGACCACCACUAGUACUCAACUGCUAUCCUCUAGACAAAGAACCGGGUUGUGGGACCCAAUUUUGGUGUAGAAAGUAAUGGAGAUAAAAUGAGAUUGGAAGCUUUCUUUUUUCUUUUGUUGAGAUUAUGAAAAUGAUAAAAGAGGCAAAAGUCCUUCAACAUUUGAAAACAUCUCUAUUUAUAGCCUAAUUACAUGCAAAAAUGCAUGCAAUUCAAUUGCCAAAUCUCAACAC
RNAcentral lists this long non-coding RNA (6357 nucleotides) under Cucumis sativus (cucumber). RNAcentral describes it as "long non-coding RNA (CSAT_LNC001124)". Lineage: Eukaryota; Viridiplantae; Streptophyta; Magnoliopsida; Cucurbitales; Cucurbitaceae. The record is from RNAcentral.